UACAGAGGUGGCAAGCGUUGUUCGGAAUUACUGGGCGUAAAGGGCGCGUAGGCGGUCUUGUAAGUCUUGUGUGAAAUCCCUCGGCUUAACUGAGGAACUGCACGGGAUACUGCGAGACUUGAGAUCGGGAGAGGGAAGCGGAAUUCCGGGUGUAGCGGUGAAAUGCGUAGAUAUCCAGAGGAACACCGGUGGCGAAGGCGGCUUCCUGGACCGAUACUGACGCUGAGGCGCGAAAGCUAGGGGAGCAAACGGG
Molecule: ribosomal RNA, 253 nt
Filed under: uncultured bacterium
Lineage: Bacteria
Description: partial 16S ribosomal RNA
Rfam family: Bacterial small subunit ribosomal RNA
Source: RNAcentral